RNAcentral lists this ribosomal RNA (515 nucleotides) under Crassostrea brasiliana. RNAcentral describes it as "partial 16S ribosomal RNA". It matches the Rfam family "Bacterial large subunit ribosomal RNA", at positions 1807 to 2610 of the family's 2925-position model. The record is from RNAcentral. Lineage: Eukaryota; Metazoa; Mollusca; Bivalvia; Ostreida; Ostreidae.
UCAAAAACAUCGCUAAAAGUAGUUGAUUUUUAGUAGUACCUGCCCAGUGCGUAUUAUCUUGUUAACGGCCGCCUUAGCGUGAGGGUGCUAAGGUAGCGAAAUUCCUUGCCUUUUAAUUGUAGGCCAGCAUGAAUGGUUUGACGAGGGCCUCACUGUCUCUUAGUUCUAUGUUGAAAUUGUAGUGUAGGUGAAGAUACCUUCAUAAAAAAGUAAGACAAAAAGACCCCGUGCAACUUUGAAAAUUAAGCUAGAUUAAAUGGCAAAAGAUUUUUAGGUGGGGCGCCAAAAGAGGAAACUAUAACCUCUGCUGUUUAAGCUAAUUCUUACUGGAGUUGACCUGACUUAAGUCGAUCAAAGGAGAAGUUACGCCGGGGAUAACAGGCCAAUUCUUUAGUAAAGCUCGUAUUAACUAAAGGGCUUGGCACCUCGAUGUUGAAUCAGGGAUUAUAGCUUCAAGGCGUAGAUGCUUUGAUUAGUGGGUCUGUUCGACCUUUGAAACCCUACGUGAUCUGAGU